This 563-nucleotide ribosomal RNA is filed under the name uncultured bacterium. Its description in RNAcentral is "partial 16S ribosomal RNA". It matches the Rfam family "Bacterial small subunit ribosomal RNA", at positions 355 to 941 of the family's 1533-position model. The record is from RNAcentral.
UGGGGAAUCUUGCGCAAUGGGCGAAAGCCUGACGCAGCCAUGCCGCGUGAAUGAUGAAGGUCUUAGGAUUGUAAAAUUCUUUCACCGGGGACGAUAAUGACGGUACCCGGAGAAGAAGCCCCGGCUAACUUCGUGCCAGCAGCCGCGGUAAUACGAAGGGGGCCUAGCGUUGCUCGGAAUUACUGGGCGUAAAGGGAGCGUAGGCGGACAUUUAAGUCAGGGGUGAAAUCCCGGGGCUCAACCUCGGAAUUGCCUUUGAUACUGGGUGUCUUGAGUGUGAGAGAGGUAUGUGGAACUCCGAGUGUAGAGGUGAAAUUCGUAGAUAUUCGGAAGAACACCAGUGGCGAAGGCGACAUACUGGCUCAUUACUGACGCUGAGCUCGAAAGCGUGGGGAGCAAACAGGAUUAGAUACCCUGGUAGUCCACGCUGUAAACGAUGAUUGCUAGUUGUCGGGAUGCAUGCAUUUCGGUGACGCAGCUAACGCAUUAAGCAAUCCGCCUGGGGAGUACGGUCGCAAGAUUAAAACCUUAAAGGAAUUGACGGGGGUCAUAGCUGUUUCCUG